This 253-nucleotide ribosomal RNA is filed under the name uncultured bacterium. Its description in RNAcentral is "partial 16S ribosomal RNA". It matches the Rfam family "Bacterial small subunit ribosomal RNA", at positions 524 to 776 of the family's 1533-position model. The record is from RNAcentral.
UACGUAGGGUCCAAGCGUUAUCCGGAAUCAUUGGGUUUAAAGGGUCCGUAGGCGGUUUUGUAAGUCAGUGGUGAAAGCCCAUCGCUCAACGGUGGAACGGCCAUUGAUACUGCAAGACUUGAAUUAUUAGGAAGUAACUAGAAUAUGUAGUGUAGCGGUGAAAUGCUUAGAGAUUACAUGGAAUACCAAUUGCGAAGGCAGGUUACUACUAAUGGAUUGACGCUGAUGGACGAAAGCGUGGGUAGCGAACAGG